AACGAACGUCGGCGGCGUGCUUAACACAUGCAAGUCGAACGAGAAAGUUCCUUCGGGGACGAGUAAAGUGGCGCACGGGUGAGUAACGCGUAGAUAAUCUGUCCAGGUGUUCGGGAUAGCCCUUCGAAAGGGGGAUUAAUACCGGAUACGUUGGUCUGUCAUAAGGCAGAUCAAGAAAGGUGGCCUCUAUUUAUAAGCUAUCGCAUUUGGAGGAGUCUGCGUACCAUUAGUUUGUUGGUGGGGUAAUGGCCUACCAAGACUUUCGAUGGUUAGCGGGUCUGAGAGGAUGAUCCCGUCACACUGGCACUGAAACACGGGCCAGACUCCCUACGGGAGGCAGCAGUGAGGAAUAUUGCGCAAUGGGGGAAACCCUGACGCAGCGACGCCGCGUGAGUGAGGAAGGCCUUCGGGUCGUAAAGCUCUGUCAGAAGGGAAGAAGUGUGCAUCGGUUAAUACCCGUUGCAUUUGACGGUACCUUCAAAGGAAGCACCGGCUAACUCCGUGCCAGCAGCCGCGGUAAUACGGAGGGUGCAAACGUUGUUCGGAAUCACUGGGCGUAAAGGGCGCGCAGGCGGUUUGAUUAGUCAGAUGUGAAAGCCCACGGCUUAACCGUGGAAGUGCAUUUGAAACUGUCAGGCUUGAGUACCAGAGGGGGUAGUGGAAUUCCCGGUGUAGAGGUGAAAUUCGUAGAUAUCGGGAGGAAUACCGGUGGCGAAGGCGACUACCUGGCUGGAUACUGACGCUGAGGCGCGAAAGCGUGGGGAGCAAACAGGAUUAGAUACCCUGGUAGUCCACGCCGUAAACAAUGUCAACUAGGUGUAGGGGGUGUUGAUCCCCUCUGUGCCGGAGCUAACGCAUUAAGUUGACCGCCUGGGGAGUACGGUCGCAAGAUUAAAACUCAAAGGAAUUGACGG
RNAcentral lists this ribosomal RNA (914 nucleotides) under uncultured delta proteobacterium. RNAcentral describes it as "bacterial SSU rRNA". It matches the Rfam family "Bacterial small subunit ribosomal RNA", at positions 28 to 916 of the family's 1533-position model. The record is from RNAcentral. Lineage: Bacteria; Deltaproteobacteria.